Molecule: long non-coding RNA, 280 nt
Filed under: Elaeis guineensis (African oil palm)
Lineage: Eukaryota; Viridiplantae; Streptophyta; Magnoliopsida; Arecales; Arecaceae
Description: long non-coding RNA (EGUI_LNC044828)
Source: RNAcentral
CUUGUAUAAAGUCCUCUUCAUAACUUGAUGAAGUAAGUGGAAGGAUUUACGACUUGCAGAUUAAUUUCUUCUCUUAUUCUCAAAUCAAUUUAAUCAAAUCUUUUAAAUUAUUAGGUUCUUAAAAUGAUAUAGUUAUGGGGAUAAUUUAUUCAUAGCCUUCCAUUAAGGUGCGUGAUAAUGAGUCCAAUAUUUAAAUAGGUAUUGGAGGCACCAUACGUCUAGUGUCUAUUAGGUAUUGGAAUUAUUAUUUAUCAUAUGACUAUCUUGUUGUGCCCUUCAG